RNAcentral lists this small RNA (49 nucleotides) under unclassified sequences. RNAcentral describes it as "NAD+-I sequence". It matches the Rfam family "nadA riboswitch". The record is from Rfam by way of RNAcentral.
GCUUUCAACAUCCCCGUUCCGGGCGCUCAAGCGCGCCGGGACUGAAGGC